GCUAGUGUAGCUUAACGUAAAGCAUAAC
RNAcentral lists this transfer RNA (28 nucleotides) under Poecilia formosa (Amazon molly). RNAcentral describes it as "partial tRNA-Phe". The record is from RNAcentral. Lineage: Eukaryota; Metazoa; Chordata; Actinopteri; Cyprinodontiformes; Poeciliidae.